This is a small nucleolar RNA of Dasypus novemcinctus (nine-banded armadillo), 91 nucleotides long. Its record names the gene SNORD116. It matches the Rfam family "Small nucleolar RNA SNORD116". Rfam says of the family: HBII-85 is a member of the C/D class of snoRNAs, which contain the C (UGAUGA) and D (CUGA) box motifs. The record is from Ensembl. Lineage: Eukaryota; Metazoa; Chordata; Mammalia; Cingulata; Dasypodidae.
GUAUCGAUGACGACACCCUCAAUGCAUUCCUUGGAAGCUGAACAACACGAGUGAGAACUCUACACUGUCUUAUCUCAUCGAGCUGAGGUCC